Molecule: long non-coding RNA, 1788 nt
Organism: Tigriopus californicus
Lineage: Eukaryota; Metazoa; Arthropoda; Copepoda; Harpacticoida; Harpacticidae
Exons: 3
Source: RefSeq, a predicted model, not a curated record
ACGUACAUUUAAACAUUAGAGCUUUUAUGAGAGCCCACCCAAUUUCCUGUUCUGAUGGUGAAUGAGUGGGUGGGCAUCGUUUUCGCGGAAGAUCCGAACUUCUUUCACUAUUUGGAUGCCUUGUCAGAAAGUUGACAACCAUUGUCCUGGGUCAUAGUUGUUCAAGAUAGAUCUUGAUUGGUGGGAAAUCAAUUAAUUUUUAUCUUAUCAAGGAGCGACCAUCUUGGAUGAGACGGACCAGGAGGAAGAGGAGAAGCAAGCACGUCCAAUUUCAUGGGUGUUCUCUGUUGGCCGAUUUUAGGGUUGAAACCUUGGAUUUUCGUGCCUGGAGGUCCCGAAGGAUUGCGGGGAAACGAAGUCAUCAAAAGACUAUUUUGACAGAUGGAGGAUCAGGAGAAGCGAAAGGUUUGGGAGAGCCCUGGUACCAAUUACGAGGUUUUGGCACUCCCUUUUGACAGACUCAAAUCCAGAUAAUACAAUGAUACUGUCAUAACCCAACUCACCCACCAACCUGUUCACGCCCGACCACCCUCAACACGAUUCACGAAUGCCAAAGAACGAGAAAGACGUGUCAUUUGGUGCCCUUAUUGGGCCCGACCGAAGGUGUCCAGAACCCCCAAUUUUCUGGCAUUCAUCGCGAUUCACUUUCACCCUUCACCCUGGUUUUGUCAAGCCGUACAGCUAGUUUACUGCCAUGGUGUUUGCUGGUAUCUGGGUGAUCGUGCCAGCAAUGCUAACCAUCACCUUGGCUCACGCUAUUGGUCUUGAGGAUGGUUGCUGUGCUGGAUCUAGGAUCUAGGGCACACAUCCAAGGGUGGUUUUCGAUGACGACCUUAUAUUGACUUGGAUUUCAUUUAUCUAUCAGCGUGAACCACACGAUCAUGUUGUUUUUUCCACGCAUGCGACAGAUCAUCGAGCAAGAUGACGCCACUCAAACCACACAGUCUCAAAAGGCCCAUCACUUUGACAUUCUACCCGGAGUGAAGGUGUAAAUAUUACCAAAGUCAAAUGUGAACCGAUUUUGACCUCUUUUGGUCAAUAUUGAGAGGGAUAGGGAAACAGUCUUUUAUCAAACGUCUUUUACUCCCUGGCACUGGCCCUUUGCACGCACAAUCAUAGGUAUUCAUGUGCGGGGUUGGCAAUUUCACCAGUGAUCCAGCGGCUCUCGCUCAAAUUUCUCGACGUUACACCUCAAAGAAGGUCGUAAAUUUUGUAAUAAGAAUAACACGUUAGGUGGACUGGACCAAGCUGAGGGAGGGAAGGCGGCAAUUCCUAUAAAUCUCAAGUGCCCAAUUUUUUUCGAGUCUAUUCGUCCGACGUACGGUGGACUCCUCCUGCCAAUGCCAAUUGCACAGAGAGAGGGUUGAUCAUCCGAGAGAAAUCGCAGAUUACAAUCACACCGGUCUACAACACAAGGAAAAAAAUCAGGCAUCUCUCAAAGAUUUUCAAAUGAUGAUCAUAGGAGGGAAGUAGGGAGGGGGGAUGCUUCGCCAACCUUGCUUGUCCGAUGAAAUACAUACACCUGAUCAGUACUAUCACGGGUCAAGAAUCUACGUAGAAUCCCGAGAUUGAGCGAGCGAGGAGGGAUUGGUUGGCUGAAUUGAAUGCAAUCCACACGACGAGAUGAGAAGAAUCUCAAACCGACAAGAAACAUCGUUCAGAUUGAAGGAGUUUUCGGAAUGCGAUUUGGCCCCUAGAUUAGAUGAGGUUUCAGGAUGCAAAUCAGAGCGAAUUCCGCAUCCCGAUUUUCCACCACCAAGUGGACAAAUUGCUGGUCCAUUGGUCACC